UACGUAGGGUCCAAGCGUUGUCCGGAUUUAUUGGGCGUAAAGAGCUCGUAGGCGGUUCGGUAAGUCGGAUGUGAAAACUCAGGGCUCAACCCGGAGACGCCAUCCGAUACUGCUGUGACUUGAGUCUGGUAGGGGAACACGGAAUACCUGGUGUAGCGGUGAAAUGCGCAGAUAUCAGGUGGAACACCGAUGGCGAAGGCAGUGUUCUGGGCCAGUACUGACGCUGAGGAGCGAAAGCGUGGGGAGCAAACAGG
Molecule: ribosomal RNA, 254 nt
Filed under: uncultured bacterium
Lineage: Bacteria
Description: partial 16S ribosomal RNA
Rfam family: Bacterial small subunit ribosomal RNA
Source: RNAcentral